This 1122-nucleotide long non-coding RNA is filed under the name Fukomys damarensis (Damara mole-rat). Its description in RNAcentral is "lncRNA (ENSFDAG00000031276.1)". Lineage: Eukaryota; Metazoa; Chordata; Mammalia; Rodentia; Bathyergidae. The record is from RNAcentral.
UCUAGAGCGCUGUUAUUUUACGUAAAAUGGAAAAAGAAAAAUAAGAAAGCCCUCACCUCAGGGGAAGGGACCGAGGUCCCAAGAUGGCGGCGUCGGAAGAGCAAAUGGCUGAGGAGGGAGGCGGCAGCCACGGUGAUGGCGGAUCUUGUUCGGCCGCUGGCUCUGCCCAGUGACAGCCCCCGCUGUCCCCUGCCCAGCCGCCGCAUCCGGAGUCCCAGGCGCCCCCAUCGAAGCCAUCGAGAACAUCCUCAGCUUUUUGUGCGACGAAGAAAUGAGCCGGCUGCGCCUGCGCGUUUAUCUUUGUCCGUGGUCGGGACACGGAAGGAGGUGGACGUUUUGAAGUGAGUGCAAGCCGCUUCCGUGUAGAAGGUUCGCAAAAGAAUGCACUUGGUUUGCCAGAGAAUGUUCAGUCAGGGGUUUCUGAAAGUUUUCUGUAUCAGAAGUAAGUGAAAGCGCAGCUCCCAAGGAGAGAGGCAGAGAGUUGAAACCAUUCUUUAGCUCAUCGUGCAGACAUCUUUCUGCUGUGGAAACAAGGCUGUCCCUGGUAAACAUGACUUGUAGGAAGUAAGCGGAUUCCAGUCUUUGUUGCUUGAUGAGUUUUGCCGGGUGUUGAGGUUCUACCAGAGCCCCACUGCGAGCUCAUGAAGUCCUCCGGGAGUUCAGGGAUAUCUCCUCCUUGGCCACGGAGUACUUUGAUGAGAAGAUCGUUCUGCAGAGGAAACUGCCAGCAUCGGACAUGCAUGGAAGGCUCAUGGGCCAGGCCCGUCCGCAGCUCUUCCUCCCCUAAGCAAAACGCUUCACGACAAGAGGUUACUAAACCCCAGCAGCAGGUUAAGACCAACGGCGCUGGCGUGACUGUUCUCAGCAGGGAGACUUCUGAGGAACAGCAGAAACAGCUUCAAGACCAAGACCAGAAACUGCUCGAUCAGGCCCCAGUUGUAGGUGAACAGAACAUGAGGAACAUAUGAAAAGAAAGAAACCCACACCAUCCCAUAAAAUCCCCAGUGCAAGGAAAAAAGAAAAAAAUGACAAAAAUUUCAGCAAGAAUUAUUUUGUGUAGCACCAACUGGCAAUCUGAAUCAAAUGGCAGUGAAAGAGAACAGUAUAACCAAGGUAAAUAAA